This 1101-nucleotide long non-coding RNA is filed under the name Helianthus annuus (common sunflower). RNAcentral describes it as "hypothetical non coding rna". Lineage: Eukaryota; Viridiplantae; Streptophyta; Magnoliopsida; Asterales; Asteraceae. The record is from RNAcentral.
AUGUAUAAAAAACAGCCCCAAACAACCGCAACUCGUGUGUGUUCCAAAUGGACCCACGGUUAUGUUUUUUAGUCCAUUUUAUUUAAUAUUACAAGUAAUAUUUUAAUUUUAUUGUUUAGGGUUUAUUUCCAACAAACAGACAAAAACCGUCCCCACUGCACAAUGACCAUAUUACCCUCGCUUCAAUAAUUGUCGAUCCUUCCAGAUCAUCAUCACCACCACCCUUGGAAUUCAGCCAUUUGUCACUCAUCUAAAGCAACUCGGCAAAAAAUAAUAUUAAAAAAAUAAAACUUACCGGAGAAUGGAGAGACCGGAGUAGUAGAUCCGGCGGGUGACGCCGGAGGCGUUUCGCUAAGACUCCUCUCCGGUUUGACGAUCAUAAUACUUCGUGUUACUCUGGUUGCAGGAUGCUCUGCUCCUCCCGUAGUCCCGCCCGUUUCAGAUUCUGUUUCACAAAACAAUUCUUUAUAUAUGUUUUUAAUUCUUUCAAUUUUAAAAAACCCUAGCUAGCUUCAAGGAUCUAACAACCUAUUAAAUCGAUCGACACAACUGCUGUUCCUUGUCAAUAACGAUCAUCAAAGUGUUUAUAGCUUAUUCGUUACACGGUCAAAAGUUCCAGUCCUAUAUCAGUGUAGUAGAUUUAAUUAAAAGCAGCUUUCCGAGACCUUUAUCUGGUGGAGGACCGGCGAUGGUGUCGUCCCAGAGUUUGUUGAGUAAGCUCAUGGCUCAGUAGUCAGUCAGUCAAGCGCACGAUUACGAAUAACAGACAUCACUGACUUAUUAUUUAUGGAAAUAUCGAGGUGAAAAAGAUCAUCCUGCAACUUGUUUCGAAUGAGGGUCGUUGAUCUUGGAUCGGGGUAAUUAUGUGAUGGAUGGACGGCGGAUCUUUUAGCACGUAGAUAAGACCAAUGGUGACGAAGCAAAAAUUUAGAUUAGGUUGUCACGUGUACUAUGUGGGUCCCUUCACGUGAUGGCUGCCUCGUUUCUCUAGAACUACGUUUUUUGAGUGACCCAUACCUUAAAAUACAACUAUAUCAUUUUCUUUUUUGCCUAUAAAAACAUUGAUGUUUAGGGAGAAGUAAAUAUGAAAAUUAAUUAGAU